RNAcentral lists this ribosomal RNA (375 nucleotides) under uncultured eukaryote. Its description in RNAcentral is "bacterial SSU rRNA". It matches the Rfam family "Eukaryotic small subunit ribosomal RNA", at positions 1328 to 1785 of the family's 1831-position model. The record is from RNAcentral.
GUAACGAACGAGACCUCGGCCUUGUAAAUAGCUAUGCUGCUUACAGGGACAUUGGCGGCUACGCCAAGGAAGCUCGAGGCAAUUGCAGAUCUGGAAUGCCCUUAGAUGUCCUGGGUCGCACGCGUGCUACAAUGACGCCACGAACGAGCUUGCGUGAUGAAAGUUACGCAUAAUCAGCAGUCGGCGUCUUAAGGGAUAGUCUCUUGUAACUGUGGGACUCCAACUAGGAAUGUCUCGUAAGCACAAGUCAACAUCUUGUGUUGAUUACGUCCCUGCUCUUUGUACACACCGCCCGUCGCUCCUACCGAUCGAGUGUUUAGGUGAAUUUGAUGGACGUAAGGAAGUCAAAUAAACCUGAGCACUUAGAGGAAGGAG